GCGCCCAUAGCUCAAUUGGAUAGAGCACCUGCCUUCUAAGCAGGUGGUUGCUGGUUCGAGCCCAGCUGGGCGCG
This 74-nucleotide transfer RNA is filed under the name Phycisphaerae bacterium. RNAcentral describes it as "tRNA-Arg". It matches the Rfam family "tRNA". From Rfam's summary of the family: Transfer RNA (tRNA) molecules are approximately 80 nucleotides in length. The record is from RNAcentral. Lineage: Bacteria; Pseudomonadati; Planctomycetota; Phycisphaerae.